Molecule: ribosomal RNA, 586 nt
Filed under: uncultured bacterium
Lineage: Bacteria
Description: bacterial SSU rRNA
Rfam family: Bacterial small subunit ribosomal RNA
Source: RNAcentral
GAUGGACCCGCGGUGCAUUAGCUAGUUGGUGAGGUAACGGCUCACCAAGGCAACGAUGCAUAGCCGACCUGAGAGGGUGAUCGGCCACACUGGGACUGAGACACGGCCCAGACUCCUACGGGAGGCAGCAGUAGGGAAUCUUCGGCAAUGGACGAAAGUCUGACCGAGCAACGCCGCGUGAGUGAAGAAGGUUUUCGGAUCGUAAAACUCUGUUGUUAGAGAAGAACAAGGAUGAGAGUAAAAUGUUCAUCCCUUGACGGUAUCUAACCAGAAAGCCACGGCUAACUACGUGCCAGCAGCCGCGGUAAUACGUAGGUGGCAAGCGUUGUCCGGAUUUAUUGGGCGUAAAGCGAGCGCAGGCGGUUUCUUAAGUCUGAUGUGAAAGCCCCCGGCUCAACCGGGGAGGGUCAUUGGAAACUGGGAGACUUGAGUGCAGAAGAGGAGAGUGGAAUUCCAUGUGUAGCGGUGAAAUGCGUAGAUAUAUGGAGGAACACCAGUGGCGAAGGCGGCUCUCUGGUCUGUAACUGACGCUGAGGCUCGAAAGCGUGGGGAGCGAACAGGAUUAGAUACCCUGGUAGUCCACGCC